Molecule: long non-coding RNA, 3006 nt
Organism: Fukomys damarensis (Damara mole-rat)
Lineage: Eukaryota; Metazoa; Chordata; Mammalia; Rodentia; Bathyergidae
Source: Ensembl
AUGGCAACGCUCUUCAUCAGGCUGGACGGUAUCUUCCUGGAGUUGGGCAGUGAGGAGCGGAAGAGGCUGCCUGCCUUCAACCGCACGCUGGCUCUGCUCCGCCAAGUCCUCAAGUCCUCAGAUGCCUGCCAGCGAGCUCUGGCCUGGUGCUACCUCGGGAUGCUGCUGGAGAGGAAGGACACCUUCUCCACCACCCCCAUGGGCGUCCACGACUGCGGGUACUCGGGGACUGACCCCCUGGACUGCUUUGGCAAGGCCAUCGAGAUUGCCAAGGACCAACCUCCCAUCCUCAAUCGCCUGGCCAAAAUCUUCCACUUCCUAGGAAAGCAAGACAUGGCCAUUGGAACCUGUAACAUGGCCCUGGAUGUCCUAGGAGACCCAGAGCUCAACUGGCAGGCAUACUGCACAAGGGCCAAGGUGGGUCUCCCUGCAGCACCCCGAUCCCGAGACCAAAGACCAGGGCCAAGACCCGGACCCCAGAGCCCAGAGACCCCGGAGCCUUCCUGGUGGGAGGGAGCAGAGGGCUCAUCCAGGCGCGCAGAGAUGCAGGCGCCGUUCCCACUGUAGGGGUCUCUAACUCAGCGCCUGGCCGGAGCCACCAGGAGAUUCUGGCUUAGCCCCGUGGAGUCAGAUUGACCAAAGUUGAGAUCUGGCUUCUCUACCCAUUGCUGGAAACCUGUUGCAGGCCACCUACCCCUCCGAACCUCAUUUCCCCAAUCUAAGACGUGGCUAAUCGCAGCUACCUUAGGUGGUGUCAGAGGCUUCCUGAGGUCACACUGAAGUCAGCGCCUAGGCAUGGGAGGGACAUGCAGCACUGCACACACAGCGCAUUAAUGUCGUGCACCGAGCUCUGGCCUCCCCCAGGCAGCCUCUGUCCAAACCCCACGCCACCACUCAUGUGUUAGGGGACCUUGCCAAAGUGCUCUCGCCCAAAGUCAGAGCCUCUGUUUCUUUAUCUGUGGUCUGGAGUGAGUGUCCCUCCCUUGGGAGUUUUCAGGAGAGUUGUGGGGUUGUGUGUGUAAAACCCAGCAUCACGUACACCCUGAGAAUUUGUAGGCGGCUGAUGGCUGUUACCAGGUAAAUCUUUAGCUGAUGAACUGCUGGCUACAGCCACUCGGCCCUGCCCUGAGUUACACACUCAGGAGAGCACUGCCUCCCUCCUGCCCUGCCCGCCAGGAUCUGCCUGGAGCCCCAUGGAGCCCAUCUGCCUGGGGCAGACCUGGGGCUCCGUGCUGACUGUGCUCCAAGCUAGCACGUCGUGCCUUUCCCUGUCUUCUCCACUGCCUUUCGCACAACCUAGUGGCAAAGCUGGUCCGUCCUUAGUCUCAGCAGAUUAUUUUGCCAAUAGGUAUAGGGCAGGAAACUCCUUUACUAUCGCUGAUUGGUGAUCGUUAUGAUAAAAAUACUAAUUAUACUAGUAAACCAUAAAACACUUAUGGAACUCUGCACUUCACCAAAACCUCCCUCUCACGCAUGGUCUGCUAGAACCUUCACAAAAAUCCCUUGAAGCAGCCAGACCCAUGCUAUCUGUAACUUCCACAGGGAGCAGGAACCCUAGCCUUAUUCUCCCCUGUGGCUCCAAAGGUCAGGCUCACCCCUCGCAUGGUCGGAGGAGGAGGAAUAGAGGAGGGAGGCAUGCGCAUACGAUACUCCACCCGCUAGCUCUGCCCACGUCUCUCUCUCCCAGCACUGCCUCUGCCCACAGUGUUCCUCUCCCAGAGAUCUCCGAUUCGUCUCCUCUCUAACUUCCUGCAGGGCUGACCAAAACUGGCAGUUCUGACCCAGGCCUUGUGGUAUAUGCUUGUCAUCCCAGCUGGUCAGGAGGCAGGAAGAUCGCAAAUUUGAGGCAAGCAAGAUUUUGUCUCCAAAACAAGGCAGCCUCUAGAGUCCAUCUCACUGACAAUAUCAGCAAUUCCCUUCCAGUACUUUGUUCUUGUUCUUUCCUUUUCUGUUAUUCUUAACACCAGUCAGCCCCCAUGUACUGUUUCCCUAUCUGUCGCGUUCACUGGCACUCUUCCCACUGAAGUACAAGACCCACGAAGGUGAGGGUUUCUGUUGUGUCACUCUGUCCCUGUUUGCUGCCGAGGAAUAAAUUGGCUUGGGUUAGGGCAGGGCAGAGGUGGCAGCCCCACCUGGAGCAACUUCCCUGAGCUGGCCCUCUGUCGCAGCAGAUCCACACCACAGCCUACCUGCGAGAUCUGGAGCGGGCCAAGGCAGGGCUUGGAGGCAUGCCCGAUCGGGGCCACCUGGCCCAAGCCAAGGCUGAUCUUGAGCGAGUGGUCAGGGUGUGCCCGGGCCUCAGGACCUACCUGGACAUUGGCCAGGUAAGCAGCUGAGCGGCCUGGCUGUCAGAGGGCUCACGAAGAACGCAUUGACCUGUCAGGCAGAGGUGGGGCAUCGAAGGCCCUGACAGGAAUGGGGUGCAGCUCCCCCAGCCUCUGGGGGGAAGGAAAUGCAGCAAUGUGUGGAGGAGUAGAGGAGGCCAGGUGCUCUGAGCACUUGGUAAGUAAAGAGCUGUAUUCUUUUUUUGGCGGGGUACGGGAGAUUGUACUCAGGACCUUGUGCUUGCAAGGCAGAUGCAGUGCCACUGAGCUAAAUCCCUGGUCCUAAAGAGCUGUAUUCUAUCCAGAAGUGCCACCUGUGCUGGGGGUGGGGGUGGGUGGUAAUAUCUAAUUUAGGUAUUAGGUCACUGAGGGGCGGAAGUAGACCCCCUGGAGGUUAUAUGUCUAGGAGUGGAGGCGCUGGACCUCAAAUACCAGUACUGUCUCUUUCCAGCGUCCAGAAACACGAUGUACAGUUAAUCCUGCACAGAGGAGGGGGUGGCUGCAUGAAUGCAGGCUUGGGGACUAACGACAGGGGUGGCGACUUGGAGCCUCAGCCCGCGCCACCCCCCUCCCCACACCAGGUCUACUAUUACAUGGGAGUGGACGCCGUGCAGGAGCUGCUGGCGGUGGACGAGGCGGCACUCAACCAGGCGCUGGUCUUCCUGGCCAAGGCCGGAGAGUC